AGGUUAAACUGAAUUCUGUUUCGAAUAGUACUCUCUCCGUUUCAGUUUAGUUGUCGUUUUAAAAUAACUUUUUUUUUUCAAAAUAAGUAUUGUUUUAUAGUUUAAAUGUAAAAUUUACUGAUUUUAUAUUUUAAUAUAUUUUUCUAUUGGUUAAAAUGUGAUCAAAUGUAUUGGUAAUGAUGUUUUUAUUUAGUAAAUAUACAAAAUAAAAUGUUUUAUUAAUCUGUGUGUCCAAGUCUAAAACAAUAAUUAAAAUGAAACGGAAAGAGUAUUGAACCUUUAAAUUUUGGUUUAUUCAAUAACACAUGAGCGAAAUACGUGGUAUGAAAAUAAAACUAAAAUAAAACUAACAGUUGAAUAAUAACAAAUUAGUAGGAAAACA
Molecule: long non-coding RNA, 382 nt
Filed under: Brassica napus (rape)
Lineage: Eukaryota; Viridiplantae; Streptophyta; Magnoliopsida; Brassicales; Brassicaceae
Description: long non-coding RNA (BNAP_LNC019572)
Source: RNAcentral